AUUGAACGCUGGCGGCAGGCUUAACACAUGCAAGUCGAGCGGGGUGAUGGUGCUUGCACUAUCACUUAGCGGCGGACGGGUGAGUAAUGCUUAGGAAUCUGCCUAUUAGUGGGGGACAACAUCUCGAAAGGGAUGCUAAUACCGCAUACGUCCUACGGGAGAAAGAAGGGGAUCACUUGUGACCUUGCGCUAAUAGAUGAGCCUAAGUCGGAUUAGCUAGUUGGUGGGGUAAAGGCCUACCAAGGCGACGAUCUGUAGCGGGUCUGAGAGGAUGAUCCGCCACACUGGGACCGGGACACGGCCCAAACUCCUACGGGAGGCAGCAGUGGGGAAUAUUGGACAAUGGGGGGAACCCUGUUCCAGCCAUGCCGCGUGUGUGGAGAAGGCCUUAUGGUUGUAAAGCACUUUAAGCGAGGAGGAGGCUCUUUUGGUUAAUACCCAAGAUGAGUGGACGUUACUCGCAGAAUAAGCACCGGCUAACUCUGUGCCAGCAGCCGCCGUAA
Molecule: ribosomal RNA, 503 nt
Filed under: uncultured bacterium
Lineage: Bacteria
Description: partial 16S ribosomal RNA
Rfam family: Bacterial small subunit ribosomal RNA
Source: RNAcentral